Molecule: long non-coding RNA, 1568 nt
Organism: Petromyzon marinus (sea lamprey)
Lineage: Eukaryota; Metazoa; Chordata; Hyperoartia; Petromyzontiformes; Petromyzontidae
Source: RefSeq, a predicted model, not a curated record
AAUCAUAACGAACGAAUAUACACCGUUAAAAACCAAACUUUUAUUUUGAAAAAAAGUUAAUUAUUACAGCGAAAACAUUUUUAAUUCAUUAACAAUUUCCACACCCCCUUGCCCCCAACAGGAGAUUUCCCGCGUCCAGGCCGCGUGGAGCGCCCUCGGACGCUUAAGCCGCGAGCUGAGCGAGCUGAGCGCGCGCAGGGGAGGGGGAGGGGCGGAGCGGGAGAAGAUUUUGGCGGGAACGGCGACCGGAAGAGGAGGGGCGCGCGCCGGGAGCUCCCUGGGACGCUCCCUGCGCGUGCUCGCCACGGACAUGGCGGACCUGAGGGAGCGCCUGCGCGUGCAGCUGUCGUCUCUGGGGGCGGAGCCACAGCCUGGAGCCUCCUCCCCCCCAGGCCCCGCCCACACGCUCACCCAAUCAUCACGCGACCUGCACGGCUUCCUCGUGCUGAGCGAGCUGGGGGUGUGGCUCCAGCGGCUGGGUCGCGACCUCGUGAGACUCCGACUCCUGGCGGCCUAGCCCACACCCACCACCCCCACCAACCUUGUCCACCGUGCCACUAGCCACGCCCAUUACACUACUUGCCACGCCUACCACCCCCACUGGCCACGCCCACCACUAGACACGUCCAUUACACUACUUGCCACGCCUACCACCCCCACUAGCCACGCCAACCACUAGCCACGCCCAUUACACUACUUGCCACGCCUACCACCCCCCACUAGCCAUGCCCACCACUAGCCACGUCCAUUACCCCACUAUAGCCACUCCUACCACCCCCACUAGCCACGCCCACCACUAGUCACGCCCACCACAAGCCACGCCCAUUAACACUACUUGCCACGCCUACCACCCCCACUAGCCACGCCCACCACUAGCCACGUCCAUUACCCCACUAGCCACUUCCUAACCACCCUGCUAGCCACGCCCACCACUAGCCACGCCCAUUACACUACUUGCCACGCCUACCACACCACUAGCCACGCCCACCCAUCACUAGCCACGUAUAUAUACGUACACAUACGUGUGUGUACGUAUGUAUACGUGGGUAUGCAUGGCACCUGGGUCUGCCCCGUGACCUCCUGCCAGCGGGCGUUCGACACUUUACGUGGCCUCAAGGUGCACAUGGCCUGGCACAAGCGUCGUGGUGACGUCACCGCCACUUAGUGGCGAAUGGCGGUUGUUGUUGUUGUAUACCCACGUGCGUAUGUAAAUCCUGCCGACCUGAGUUCGAUUCCCGCUCACGGCCGACACCACUGUGACGAUUAUCUGAAAUGGUUCUGGGCCUCACCUAGGUCGACUCAGCCUCAAAUGAGUUCCUGGUGCGGUGUGUAGUGAUGGUGCUGCUGCUGCUACUCACUGCUAACGGCACUUGCCCCCCAAACAGUCUGUUAAGGCUUUCAGGGGGGAUCUUUCUAUUUAUAUACGUAUACGCGCGCGUGAACACACGCACACACACGCGCGUGCUUUAUUUAUUACUAAUUGUUGUUACGACUGACCGAUUAAUAUACGCGUAUUUAUGGCUUUUAUAUAUUUGUAUUUAUUUGUAAUAAACGACUUCCACGGCGAA